This is a long non-coding RNA of Arabidopsis lyrata subsp. lyrata, 220 nucleotides long. RefSeq lists it as uncharacterized. NCBI's taxonomy places the organism in Eukaryota, Viridiplantae, Streptophyta, Magnoliopsida, Brassicales, Brassicaceae. The transcript has 2 exons. The record is from RefSeq and is a predicted model, not a curated record.
UCAGAUCUUCUCUGAAUCUCACUUCGAUGCCUCCGUUAACGGUUUCUGUGGUUGUUCCCAACCCAUAAAUCUUUAACCGGUGGGCUAAAGAUCUUGGUUUUACUAAACCAUUCUCUGUUCUUUCCCAGAGCUUAAAGAACACAUCAUUUCAGAACUGAAGUCCACGGCAGAGAAGAACAAGCUAAGAAAGUUUGAGUACAUCAAAGCGGUGGCGGUGGAG